This 456-nucleotide ribosomal RNA is filed under the name uncultured Sphingobacteriales bacterium. RNAcentral describes it as "bacterial SSU rRNA". It matches the Rfam family "Bacterial small subunit ribosomal RNA", at positions 923 to 1382 of the family's 1533-position model. Lineage: Bacteria; Pseudomonadati; Bacteroidota; Sphingobacteriia; Sphingobacteriales. The record is from RNAcentral.
GCACAGCGGUGGAGCAUGUGGUUUAAUCGAUGAUACGCGAGGAACCUUACCUGGGCUACAAAUGUAUGUUGACGUAUUCUGAAAGGGAUACUUCUUCGGACAAUAUACAAGGUGCUGCAUGGUUGUCGUCAGCUCGUGCCGUGAGGUGUCGGGUUAAGUCCCAUAACGAGCGCAACCCCUAUCAUUAGUUGCCAUCAGGUCAAGCUGGGGACUCUAAUGAAACUGCCUACGCAAGUAGUGAGGAAGGUGGGGAUGACGUCAAAUCAGCACGGCCCUUACGUCCAGGGCUACACACGUGCUACAAUAGCCGGUACAAAGGGCAGCUACCUGGUGACAGGAUGCUAAUCUCAAAAGCCGGUCUCAGUUCGGAUCGGAGUCUGCAACCCGACUCCGUGAAGCUGGAAUCGCUAGUAAUCGCGCAUCAGCCAUGGCGCGGUGAAUACGUUCCCGGGCCUU